CAUGAAAAUAAUGUUAUUUUGACCAUAAGUCUGUAUUCAUAAAUGUUGUUAAGGAGUAACAUUCUAUUCAAUAAAUUGUUAAUGCUUUUCAUAAAUAAAAUAAAAUGUUAUGAUGAAAUUGCACCAUGUCGUCCAGAAUCGACAAAUAGCAAAUGUCCGGUAGUAAAUGAUGCUUCAUCAGAUGCCAGAAAUCGUAUUGCCUUUGCGACGUCUUCCGGUUUGCCCGCACCACCAAGAGGUUGUAUCACUUUCAACCGCUCGAGAUACU
RNAcentral lists this long non-coding RNA (268 nucleotides) under Mytilus galloprovincialis (Mediterranean mussel). Lineage: Eukaryota; Metazoa; Mollusca; Bivalvia; Mytilida; Mytilidae. The record is from RNAcentral.